AGGGCAGAGAAGGCACCUCGUGAUUGCAAGAAGGCUUCAGACGUGCCCCGUCCCUCGA
Molecule: transfer RNA, 58 nt
Filed under: uncultured eukaryote
Lineage: Eukaryota
Source: RNAcentral